AGCUGGAAAUGCGGACGCAGGAAGAAUUUCGCGUCGUAAUAACCUGGAUUGCCUUCGACCUCUUCCACCACUACUUCAGCGGCAGCCAGCGGACGACGGGCUUUAGUUUCUUGCGAGGAGUUCACCGGAUCGGCGUCGACAUAAUUCAUAAUCCAUUCAUUUAGCCAGCGCUGCAUAUCCUCACGCUCUUUAAAGGAACCGAUUUUGUCGCGGACGAUACAUUUGAGGAAGUGAGCGAAGCGCGAGCAGGCGAACAGGUACGGUAGACGGGCAGACAGGUUAGCG
This 285-nucleotide unclassified non-coding RNA is filed under the name uncultured fungus. RNAcentral describes it as "partial internal transcribed spacer 1". The record is from RNAcentral. Lineage: Eukaryota; Fungi.